UUGAACGCUGGCGGCAUGCCUAACACAUGCAAGUCGAACGGGGUGUAGCAAUACAUCUAGUGGCGGACGGGUGAGGAAUACAUAGGAAUUUGCCCUUAAGUGGGGGAUAGUCCGGGGAAACUCGGUUUAAUACCGCAUGAUCUCGUGAGAGCAAAGCAGGGGACCGCAAGGCCUUGCGCUUUUGGAGAAGCCUAUGUCGGAUUAGCUAGUUGGUAGGGUAAUGGCCUACCAAGGCGACGAUCCGUAACUGGUCUGAGAGGAUGAUCAGUCACACCGGAACUGAGACACGGUCCGGACUCCUACGGGAGGCAGCAGUGGGGAAUAUUGGACAAUGGGCGCAAGCCUGAUCCAGCAAUGCCGCGUGUGUGAAGAAGGCCUUCGGGUUGUAAAGCACUUUAGGCUGGAAGAAAAGCUUCACCUAAUACGUGAAGACCUUGACGGUACCAGCAGAAUAAGCACCGGCUAAACU
Molecule: ribosomal RNA, 469 nt
Filed under: uncultured bacterium
Lineage: Bacteria
Description: bacterial SSU rRNA
Rfam family: Bacterial small subunit ribosomal RNA
Source: RNAcentral